GUGCUCGCUUCAGCGGUACAUAUACUAAAAUUGGAGUGAUGCAGAGAUUAGCAUGGCCUCUGAGCAAG
This 68-nucleotide small nuclear RNA is filed under the name Tupaia belangeri (northern tree shrew). The record is from RNAcentral. Lineage: Eukaryota; Metazoa; Chordata; Mammalia; Scandentia; Tupaiidae.